AUAAGAUAAUAUAAACUUAAUUGACAAUACGUCUUAGUCCCUCUGGAUGAGGCCUCAGCCAUUGGUAUUAGAUGAUGCAGCACUGAGUAUUACCCGCGGUUUGGCAAGAAGAGAGGACCAUAGCAGGCAGCUAUUUAU
RNAcentral lists this unclassified non-coding RNA (138 nucleotides) under Klebsiella pneumoniae subsp. pneumoniae BJ1-GA. RNAcentral's name for it is "U2". The record is from RNAcentral. Lineage: Bacteria; Pseudomonadati; Pseudomonadota; Gammaproteobacteria; Enterobacterales; Enterobacteriaceae.